Molecule: non-coding RNA, 733 nt
Organism: Phascolarctos cinereus (koala)
Lineage: Eukaryota; Metazoa; Chordata; Mammalia; Diprotodontia; Phascolarctidae
Source: RefSeq, a predicted model, not a curated record
UUCUGUCUCUUGAGAAUAGGAGGUCCUUGGAGAUUACAAGGAAGCAAGGAAACGUUGGCAUUAGACUAUGGCUGUGGACUCAAGUGGCACCCGAAAAGGGACCUGAAAGAGGGGCUUCCCCUGGCAGAGUGGCCCUGGACAAGGUGGGCUGUUUGGCUAACAGCCCUAGAAAAGGAGCUCCGGUCGUCAAGAAAGGAUGGCUAACAAGAAAACUUUGGUAAACCUGUCUGGAUACCGGAGAAAAAUGUCAAAGCAUGUACCACAACUCACAACUCCAAUGCAAAGUAUGAGGAUUUGGGGAAAGCACAGAAGGAGCUGAUCUACAGAUGAGUCACCUUCCCAUAUGGGGUCAAGUGAAAGCUCCCUCUCAUCGAGUGAUGAAAGACUCUUGAACUUGUAAUUGUAGCAAUAGUAGCUUUACUUUCUGCUCAAGUGUGUAAUGUGGAGAGUGCUUGCCAUUGGACUUGUUUUCCUUUUCCACCCUGGUUGCAAUCCCUCACAUAUAUGGGCAAAUUGGGAACUAUAUAUACUAAUAACACCGGUGUAUUCAGAAGCCAAGAAUAUCCCUUUCUCCAGGACAGAGCCAAUGUUACAAGUACCCUCAGAUCUCUAGCAUCCAGGACACCUAUGUUUUUCAGAAUUUAGCAGCAAUAUUGAACCCUGUCUUUUUCUUGUUACGUCAUUUUUUAAAAAUACCAGUUUGUCUAAUGGAUAUGUAAAUUUUACUCAAUCU